CACCGAUAAAGGCAAACUAUUCGAAAGGAUGGGACGCAAAGCCAUAGGAUCUAAAGUAGAUAUCUCUACUAAGAUAGCCGAGCCACCGAA
Molecule: non-coding RNA, 90 nt
Filed under: Natronincola peptidivorans
Lineage: Bacteria; Bacillati; Bacillota; Clostridia; Peptostreptococcales; Natronincolaceae
Description: Natronincola peptidovorans c-di-GMP-I riboswitch aptamer
Rfam family: c-di-GMP-I riboswitch aptamer
About the family: GEMM was predicted in a large-scale screen for bacterial structured RNA regulatory elements. Genes associated with GEMM are involved in a diverse array of functions, including chemotaxis regulation, signal transduction, secretion and chitin.
Source: Rfam by way of RNAcentral